Molecule: long non-coding RNA, 1032 nt
Organism: Oreochromis niloticus (Nile tilapia)
Lineage: Eukaryota; Metazoa; Chordata; Actinopteri; Cichliformes; Cichlidae
Source: Ensembl
UGAUGCACUGGUAGCUCCAACGGGUUGCUCAGGUUGACUGUUCAUUCAGGAGAGGACAAACAAUCUGGGAGAUAGUGUCAACAUCAUUAGUUGUUCAACUCUCACGGUGAAACUCCUUGCUGUCAGGUGAAGCUUGAUGAAGCAAAUGAUCAAAGGAUGGAGGGGAGCAAAACUUUGAAGUUCAGAGAGAUUCUCCAAAGUCUGAAGUACUCUGGAAACAUCCUUCUUGCCGAAAAAGCACAGGAGACAGAAGGAGCUGGGAGCUACUACCAGGGCUAAUGCACAAGAAGAAAUUAACAACCAGCCACACUUUGAGAAAUACUUUCACAGCAUUCUCUCUGGCGCACAGUGAGCCUCAGCAUCCACUGACCCUGCUCUGUGAUGGCCUACCACUUGGUGGCUGAGUAGACGUCAUUCCCAAUCGCUUCCAGAGCAGAUGCAAAGCAAGAGUGGUCAGGCCAUAGUGCAGGUGUGUGUGGGUGUGUGUGUGUGUGGGUACAGUCGUGACAGGCACCUUCAGGCCUGCUGGGUGUGGCCCUACCAGCUGACCGGUCACACCCAAGGAUCUUCACACACACCUGGCGCUGAUCAAGCCUCGUCGGAGGAGCUACUUUAGAGUGUGGUGGAGCUCUCUCCAAUGUUGGAUCGUUGAGUGACUUCCCGAGGAUUUGUGGAAACAAGGAAGCAGCAAACAGACUGUACACAAGGAAUGGAGACAGAGCACGGGAGUAGGGAGAAGACACGGAACGGGAGUCGGGAUCGCACUGGGGAUUUAUUGUUGUUUAGAUUGUUACAUCACUGUAAAUAAACGCAAUGCCUUCAUCAUAAAGUCCUGCAUUUUGGGUCCUCCUUCCCCACACACCCACGGUCUGCCACACAGACCAUGACAAGUGUUACUUGUUAAAGUAGAUCAGUAAGGUUUUAAACAUGUUUCGCAGACUCAAACUCUGUACAAAAAGUCAAAAGAUGGUAGGUUAUAAGCACUUGGCAAAUAGAAAGGAUUUUGGUUACAAAAAUGUAGACCAAACCGAG